RNAcentral lists this long non-coding RNA (542 nucleotides) under Lathyrus oleraceus (garden pea). RNAcentral describes it as "Pisum sativum (pea) long non-coding RNA (PSAT_LNC031003)". Lineage: Eukaryota; Viridiplantae; Streptophyta; Magnoliopsida; Fabales; Fabaceae. The record is from RNAcentral.
GUACAUGUAAAGUACAAGGGAGUGCGAAAAUAAAAUCAUUCAAGUGAAAGUUAAUUCUAGAAUUUAAACUCUAUCUAAGCAUGCAUUAGAACCAAUGUUAACCACAUGUGAAAUAACAGCUGACAAGGAAUAUACGACAAUCUAAGUUAAUCGAUCAGUUAGAAACUUCUAUAAGUCCUAAAACUAGGGGAGCAUGCAAGAUUAGCCUAUUUCUAAUCCUAGGGGUAAAAUCGUCAUUUCACAAUCCUGGUUUCAUUUCUAUACAUGAAAGUCCUAAUUAAAAAACAAUUAAAUUCUAAACUAAAUUUAAUGUUUCUAAUAUUUCUAAAUCCUACUCUUCCAAAAAUUAUAACCUAAAUCUAAAAAUUCUAAUGAACCUAAAUUCCUAAUUAUUUUUAACAUUUCUAAUACUAUUUCUAAUCCUAAAAUUAUUUCUAAUUGUUCUAAAUAAACUCUAAUCCUAAUUUUCCUAAUUAAUCCUAAUCAUGACUAAUUUAAUCUAAUCAAUACCUAAUCAUCUAAUUAAGCUAAUUAACCUACAU